AGUGAACGCUGGCGGUAUGCCUAACACAUGCAAGUCGAACGGCAGCACAGUAAGAGCUUGCUCUUACGGGUGGCGAGUGGCGGACGGGUGAGGCAUACAUCGGAAUCUACUUUUUCGUGGGGGAUAACGUAGGGAAACUUACGCUACUACCUCAUACGACCUACGGGUGAAAGCAGGGGAUCUUCGGACCUUGCGCGAUUGAAUGAGCCGAUGUCGGAUUAGCUAGUUGGCGGGGUAAAGGCCCACCAAGGCGACGAUCCGUAGCUGGUCUGAGAGGAUGAUCAGCCACACUGGAACUGAGACACGGUCCAGACUCCUACGGGAGGCAGCAGUGGGGAAUAUUGGACAAUGGGCGCAAGCCUGAUCCAGCCAUACCGCGUGGGUGAAGAAGGCCUUCGGGUUGUAAAGCCCUUUUGUUGGGAAAGAAAAGCAGCAGGUUAAUACACCGAUGUUCUGACGGUACCCAAAGAAUAAGCACCGGCUAACUUCGUG
This 492-nucleotide ribosomal RNA is filed under the name uncultured bacterium. RNAcentral's name for it is "partial 16S ribosomal RNA". It matches the Rfam family "Bacterial small subunit ribosomal RNA", at positions 29 to 507 of the family's 1533-position model. The record is from RNAcentral.